GGGUGUUUUGCCAGUGAUCCCUGCAUACCUGAGGCCUUCUAAAGUAGGUAAAUACAGCUAAUUAUCAGCGUUGAUCUUGCAGAGAAGACACAAUCUAUACUUCUGCAAAACUAAACAAACACAUGCCCCAUUAAAAAUUGCAUGAUCACCAGCAGUAGUAGCUGCAAUUGUGAGUACUGAGAUCAGAUUCGCUCACAGUCAACUACUCUGGGAUCUUGGGAAUUUCCCAUGUUCCAGUUUGUGCCUUUUUCCUGUCUCUGGACAACAUUAAAGAAAUCUGGAUCCAUUCUCUUGAAACUCAUCCUUCAGGGAGAUGCUCCAGGCUCCUCCUCAUCUUUGUGGCCC
This is a long non-coding RNA of Lagopus leucura (white-tailed ptarmigan), 345 nucleotides long. RefSeq lists it as uncharacterized. NCBI's taxonomy places the organism in Eukaryota, Metazoa, Chordata, Aves, Galliformes, Phasianidae. The record is from RefSeq and is a predicted model, not a curated record. The transcript has 4 exons.